Juglans regia (Persian walnut) is the source of this 443-nucleotide long non-coding RNA. RefSeq lists it as uncharacterized. The record is from RefSeq and is a predicted model, not a curated record. NCBI's taxonomy places the organism in Eukaryota, Viridiplantae, Streptophyta, Magnoliopsida, Fagales, Juglandaceae. The transcript has 3 exons.
CCAGUCCCUACCCUGCGGCGCCACCUCACCCAAUCAGCCACCCAGUCCCCACCCUGUAGUGCAACGCGCAGUCCAGUACACGCCUUCUCAGAUUUCCCUUGCAUCACGGCUGCAUGUGAUUAUAAUGGCAGAGUAGCCUGUCCCAGAUGCUAAUUGAACGUCUUGAAGAUCGGCAAAAGGUGUUCCAUUUGGGUUGUGGUAUGGGGGAAAAAAUCAUCCUGCUAUGUUAGGUGAAGUCUUGAACUGGAAACACCAUUUGGCAAGCUUGCGUGCAAGUGAACAGAAAUUAGUACUUUUGACAUGGAAGGGUCAAGGCUGAUUACUUUUGUUUGAUAUAGGAAUUUUGUCGUAUGUGAAUAUAAAAUUUUAUAAAACCAUAAAUUUGUAAACUUAUUCAGUUAGGAAAGGUUAUUACAAACCUUCUUGCCUUUCUAUUAGCAGCA